This is a non-coding RNA of Equus caballus (horse), 907 nucleotides long. The record is from RefSeq and is a predicted model, not a curated record. Lineage: Eukaryota; Metazoa; Chordata; Mammalia; Perissodactyla; Equidae.
AGAAAAUUUUAUUUUUGUUAUGAAGGACAGCUAUUAAUUAUCUUAAAGACAUUUUUCAGCAUAAUAAAGGCACAGAAGUUAAGUCUUUGUUUGGAAAAUAAAAGCCAUUACUGUUGACGUUUGAUAUUUUACGAAGGCGGGUAAUGGCAGUUAGGAAAACAAACACACAGUAAUUGGAUGAGAAGUGUGUCCACAGAAGCACAUGGCCACAUCUGAUCAUUGCUUGUCCUCCUGCACCUUUGGAGAUCUUCUUGGUGAUCCUCUGUGGAGUCUAAUUUCUCCUGUAAGCCUCGGGCAGACAAGUGUCCUCUUGUGAGCCCCAGCCUCUGUCCUCUUGCCCCAGAUGGACAGAGGUUCUCCCCUGGCCAAGUUCAGGGUCAGAUGUCCCAGCCACAGGAAACACAGGUGCUGGGCUCCACCCCUACAGCUUGGAGGGUUGGGCUGUGACUUGAACUCUUGGCUUAGGGAAUCCCUGGGCUGUUCAAAGGGAAGCUAUUCCCAGUUCCUCCUUUGAACAUUUGGCCCUUUCUCUGCUGCUUCUUUUCCAGGGAAUUUGUUGCAGGAUUCGCACAGUUCAGAGUGUUUAAUAAUGAGAAAGCAGUCAAUGCCCUGUGUGCUGGGGUGAGAGUUACUGGCUGCAACACUGAGAACCACUGCAUCGGUGGAGGAGGAUUCUUCCCGGAGGGCAACCCCAGGCAGUGUGGGGAUUUCUCCUCCUUUGAUUGCAAUGGAUACGGAGCUCACACUGGUUACAGCUGCAGCCGGGAGAUAACUGAGGCAGCCGUGCUCUUGUUCUACAGAUGAGAGCUCUGUGGUGGGAGACCAGGAACCCGGAUACUCCGAAGUGGAAAAGCUGGAACGCUAACAAGGAGGAGAGGAGAAUAAAUUACAUCAAUUUGUGGCUCCA